GAUGAACGCUAGCGGCAGGCUUAACACAUGCAAGUCGAGGGGCAGCGCGAGUAGCAAUACUUGGCGGCGACCGGCGCAAGGGUGCGUAACGCGUGAGCAACAUGCCCGUAUCAGGGGGAUAAUCCAGGGAAACUUGGUCUAAUACCCCAUAGUAAUUUUGUAAGGCAUCUUAUGGAAUUUAAAGCUUUGGUGGAUACGGAUUGGCUCGCGUGACAUUAGCUGGAUGGUAAGGUAACGGCUUACCAUGGCUAUGAUGUCUAGGGGUUCUGAGAGGAAGGUCCCCCACACUGGAACUGAGACACGGUCCAGACUCCUACGGGAGGCAGCAGUGAGGAAUAUUGGACAAUGGAUGGAAAUCUGAUCCAGCCAUGCCGCGUGCAGGAAGACGGUCCUAUGGAUUGUAAACUGCUUUUGUAUGGGAGCAAUAAGGCCUUCGUGAAGGCUGAUGAGAGUACCAUACGAAUAAGCACCGGCUAACUCCGUG
This 484-nucleotide ribosomal RNA is filed under the name uncultured bacterium. RNAcentral's name for it is "bacterial SSU rRNA". It matches the Rfam family "Bacterial small subunit ribosomal RNA", at positions 28 to 507 of the family's 1533-position model. The record is from RNAcentral.